ACAUGUGGGGAACUGAAGGAUAGACAAGUU
Molecule: non-coding RNA, 30 nt
Filed under: Cricetulus griseus (Chinese hamster)
Lineage: Eukaryota; Metazoa; Chordata; Mammalia; Rodentia; Cricetidae
Source: RNAcentral